RNAcentral lists this ribosomal RNA (468 nucleotides) under uncultured bacterium. RNAcentral describes it as "partial 16S ribosomal RNA". It matches the Rfam family "Bacterial small subunit ribosomal RNA", at positions 28 to 507 of the family's 1533-position model. The record is from RNAcentral.
GACGAACGCUGGCGGCGUGCUUAACACAUGCAAGUCGAACGGAAAGGCCCUGCUUUUGUGGGGUGCUCGAGUGGCGAACGGGUGAGUAACACGUGAGUAACCUGCCCUUGACUUUGGGAUAACUUCAGGAAACUGGGGCUAAUACCGGAUAGGAGCUCCUGCUGCAUGGUGGGGGUUGGAAAGUUUCGGCGGUUGGGGAUGGACUCGCGGCUUAUCAGCUUGUUGGUGGGGUAGUGGCUUACCAAGGCUUUGACGGGUAGCCGGCCUGGGAGGGUGACCGGGCACAUUGGGCCUACGGUACGGACCAGACUCCAACGGGAGGCAGCAGUGGGAAAUAUUGCACAGUGGGCGGAAGCCUGAUGCAGCAACGCCGCGUGCGGGAUGACGGCUUUCGGGUUGUAAACCGCUUUCGCCUGUGACGAAGCGUGAGUGACGGUAAUGGGUAAAGAAGCACCGGCUAACUACGUG